Molecule: long non-coding RNA, 690 nt
Organism: Ixodes scapularis (black-legged tick)
Lineage: Eukaryota; Metazoa; Arthropoda; Arachnida; Ixodida; Ixodidae
Exons: 3
Source: RefSeq, a predicted model, not a curated record
UAUUCCUAAGUAGUAAGUUUUAAUUCCUCCUUUUUCAUAGUUUGUAUUUAGUUUGUAUUUUGUCGAACGAUGACGGAGCCGUCGCAGAAGGGCCCGCGAGUCCAGUGGUCCGUCUCCGAGAUUUGGGCCUUGAUCGGCCUUUGGGAGGAUAGGUUGUGCGACCUCCGGCGCCAAAAAAGGAAUGGGGGGAUUUACGCCGAAAUGUCAGAGGCGAUGAAGUUAAUUGGGCAUCACAAGUCCAAGGAUCAAGUGCACAACAAGAUCGAAAACCUCACGAGCGUCUACCGGAAGCACCUGCGGACGGCCAGCACAACUGGAGCAACCGGAACUGGCCGUUCUAUUGGGAGAUUCACCGUUUCCUGGGAUCCCUGCCCGCAAACGACAACACUCUCGUGGACAAGAGCUUGUGUGCGCACGAUGUGACACCAGCUGUGUUGGAGCUGCUUUCAGAAACACAGGCAGAGGAUGUCCCGUCGGACGACAUCAGGGACGACACAUCCGACGAGACGUCCCAGGAGCUGCCUGGUGCGAGUACCAGCGAACUGCCUGGUGCAAGUACCGGCGAGCUGCCUGGUGCGAGCACCAGCAACUCUAGGAGCGGCCACAAUGCUGGCAGCAGCAACCAGGGUUGGGCAGAAAUACUCAAAAAUGUAUUUGGAAAUACAAAUACUGGGAUACACUAAAAUAGUA